RNAcentral lists this ribosomal RNA (253 nucleotides) under uncultured bacterium. RNAcentral describes it as "partial 16S ribosomal RNA". It matches the Rfam family "Bacterial small subunit ribosomal RNA", at positions 524 to 776 of the family's 1533-position model. The record is from RNAcentral.
UACGUAGGGUGCAAGCGUUAAUCGGAAUUACUGGGCGUAAAGCGUGCGCAGGCGGCUUUGCAAGACAGAUGUGAAAUCCCCGGGCUUAACCUGGGAACUGCAUUUGUGACUGCAUGGCUAGAGUUUGGCAGAGGGGGGUAGAAUUCCACGUGUAGCAGUGAAAUGCGUAGAUAUGUGGAGGAACACCGAUGGCGAAGGCAGCCCCCUGGGUCAAGACUGACGCUCAUGCACGAAAGCGUGGGGAGCAAACAGG